UCUUGGUCAUUUAGAGGAAGUAAAAGUCGUAACAAGGUUUCCGUAGGUGAACCUGCGGAAGGAUCAUUACCAAGAACCACACAGAAAAGGGAGGCAAAGGGGCCGACAGGAUUAGUAGCUUUUACGUUGUUGAACGUCCUGGCUGGACCCGGAGCCGCCCCCAUCUAAACCCUCUGCGUACCUGUCCCUUCUUGCUUCCCCCGGCAUCUCGUCGGGGGGAGGAAACAACCAAAACUCUUUGUGAAUCAAACAGCCGUCAGAAUUAUAAAACAAAAAAGUUAAAACUUUCAACAACGGAUCUCUUGGUUCCCACAUCGAUGAAGAACGCAGCGAAAUGCGAUAAGUAAUGUGAAUUGCAGAAUUCAGUGAAUCAUCGAAUCUUUGAACGCACAUUGCGCCCUCUGGUAUUCCGGGGGGCAUGCCUGUUCGAGCGUCAUAAAAACCUCCUCCCCCUUCGGGUUUUGUUACUAUCGUUGGGGGGUUUUGGCCUAAUGGGAUAGCGAUUGGCAAUUCGUUUCCCAAUGUCCUAAAUAGACGUAGACCCGCCUCCAGAUGUGACAGCACCGAGGCCAUCAACCGUGGAGUUAUGGGAUAUAUAGGCUUGCAGUAAAAUGCUCACCUCUCUCCACACGCCGAUGGCACGACAGUUGCAGUUGCGGGCGUAAAUUGGAGCCCUUUUCAGGACCCUCGUGGCCUAGCAUCCACCAUAAACAAUUUGACCUCGGAUCAGGUAGGGAUACCCGCUGAACUUAAGCAUAUCAAUAAGCGGAGGAA
This 774-nucleotide ribosomal RNA is filed under the name Morchella elata. RNAcentral's name for it is "eukaryotic LSU rRNA". The stretch from base 283 to 436 matches the Rfam family "5.8S ribosomal RNA". Lineage: Eukaryota; Fungi; Ascomycota; Pezizomycetes; Pezizales; Morchellaceae. The record is from RNAcentral.